RNAcentral lists this ribosomal RNA (497 nucleotides) under uncultured bacterium. RNAcentral's name for it is "bacterial SSU rRNA". It matches the Rfam family "Bacterial small subunit ribosomal RNA", at positions 28 to 507 of the family's 1533-position model. The record is from RNAcentral.
GAUGAACGCUAGCUACAGGCUUACCUCAUGCAAGUCGAGGGGAAACGACAUCAAAAGCUUGCUUUUGAUGGGCGUCGACCGGCGCACGGGUGAGUAACGCGUAUCCAACCUGCCCAUCACUUGGGGAUAACCUUGCGAAAGUAAAACUAAUACCCAAUGACGUCCAUAAAAAACAUCUGAAAUGGAUUAAAGAUUUAUCGGUGAUGGAUGGGGAUGCGUCUGAUUAGCUUGUUGGCGGGGUAACGGCUCACCAAGGCGACAAUCUCUAGCUGGUCUGAGAGGAUGACCAGCCACACUGGAACUGAGACACGGUCCAAACUCCUACGGGAGGCAGCAGUGGGGAAUAUUGCACAAUGGGGGAAACCCUGAUGCACCCAUGCCGCGUGUGUGAAGAAGGCCUUCGGGUUGUAAAGCACUUUCAGUGGGGAGGAAGGGCUGAUGACUAAUAUUCAUCAGCAUUGACGUUACCCACAGAAAAAGCACCGGCUAACUCCGUG